UAGGGCUUCACACGUCAUACAAUGGUCGGUAACAGAGGUUGCCAACCCGCGAGGGGGAGCUAAUCCCAACAAAGCCGAUCGUAGUCCGGAUCGCAGUCUGCAACUCGACUGCGUGAAGUCGGAAUCGCUAGUAAUCGUGGAUCAGCAUGUCACGGUGAAUACGUUCCCGGGUCUU
RNAcentral lists this ribosomal RNA (175 nucleotides) under uncultured Rhodocyclaceae bacterium. RNAcentral describes it as "partial 16S ribosomal RNA". It matches the Rfam family "Bacterial small subunit ribosomal RNA", at positions 1209 to 1382 of the family's 1533-position model. The record is from RNAcentral. Lineage: Bacteria; Pseudomonadati; Pseudomonadota; Betaproteobacteria; Rhodocyclales; Rhodocyclaceae.